UACGAAGGGUGCAAACGUUGCUCGGAAUCAUUGGGCGUAAAGCGCACGUAGGCGGCUUCGCAAGUCGGAUGUGAAAUCCCUCGGCUCAACCGAGGACGUGCAUCCGAAACUGCGGAGCUUGAGUACUGAAGAGGAUCGCGGAAUUCCCGGUGUAGAGGUGAAAUUCGUAGAUAUCGGGAGGAACACCAGUGGCGAAGGCGGCUCACUGGCUCGUAACUGACGCUCAUGCACGACAGCGUGGGGAUCAAACAGG
Molecule: ribosomal RNA, 253 nt
Filed under: uncultured bacterium
Lineage: Bacteria
Description: partial 16S ribosomal RNA
Rfam family: Bacterial small subunit ribosomal RNA
Source: RNAcentral